AGAGUUUGAUCAUGGCUCAGAUUGAACGCUGGCGGCAGGCCUAACACAUGCAGGUCGAACGGUAACAUUUCUGGCUUGCUAGAAGAUGACGAGUGGCGGACGGGUGAGUAAUGCUUGGGAACUUGCCUUUGCGAGGGGGAUAACAGUUGGAAACGACUGCUAAUACCGCAUAACGUCUACAGACCAAACGGGGCUUAGGCUCCGGCGCAAAGAGAGGCCCAAGUGAGAUUAGCUAGUUGGUAAGGUAAUGGCUUACCAAGGCAACGAUCUCUAGCUGUUCUGAGAGGAAGAUCAGCCACACUGGAACUGAGACACGGUCCAGACUCCUACGGGAGGCAGCAGUGGGGAAUAUUGCACAAUGGGGGAAACCCUGAUGCAGCCAUGCCGCGUGUGUGAAGAAGGCCUUCGGGUUGUAAAGCACUUUCAGUUGUGAGGAAAAGUUAGUAGUUAAUACCUGCUAGCCGUGACGUUAACAACAGAAGAAGCACCGGCUAACUCCGUGCCAGCAGCCGCGGUAAUACGGAGGGUGUGAGCGUUAAUCGGAAUUACUGGGCGUAAAGCGCACGCAGGCGGUUUGUUAAGCUAGAUGUGAAAGCCCCGGGCUCAACCUGGGAUAGUCAUUUAGAACUGGCAGACUAGAGUCUUGGAGAGGGGAGUGGAAUUCCAGGUGUAGCGGUGAAAUGCGUAGAUAUCUGGAGGAACAUCAGUGGCGAAGGCGACUCCCUGGCCAAAGACUGACGCUCAUGUGCGAAAGUGUGGGUAGCGAACAGGAUUAGAUACCCUGGUAGUCCACACC
RNAcentral lists this ribosomal RNA (796 nucleotides) under uncultured marine microorganism. Its description in RNAcentral is "bacterial SSU rRNA". It matches the Rfam family "Bacterial small subunit ribosomal RNA", at positions 8 to 801 of the family's 1533-position model. The record is from RNAcentral.